CGUAGCCGCGGUAAUACAGAGGGUGCGAGCGUUAAUCGGAUUUACUGGGCGUAAAGCGUGCGUAGGCGGCUUCUUAAGUCGGAUGUGAAAUCCCUGAGCUUAACUUAGGAAUUGCAUUCGAUACUGGGAAGCUAGAGUAUGGGAGAGGAUGGUAGAAUUCCAGGUGUAGCGGUGAAAUGCGUAGAGAUCUGGAGGAAUACCGAUGGCGAAGGCAGCCAUCUGGCCUAAUACUGACGCUGAGGUACGAAAGCAUGGGGAGCAAACAGGAUUAGAGACCCCUGUAGUCCCUGUCUCUUAUACC
This 301-nucleotide ribosomal RNA is filed under the name uncultured bacterium. Its description in RNAcentral is "partial 16S ribosomal RNA". It matches the Rfam family "Bacterial small subunit ribosomal RNA", at positions 510 to 808 of the family's 1533-position model. The record is from RNAcentral.